CCUACGGGCGGCAGCAGUGGGGAAUAUUGGACAAUGGGCGAAAGCCUGAUCCAGCCAUGCCGCGUGUGUGAAGAAGGCCUUCGGGUUGUAAAGCACUUUCAGUGGGGAAGAAAGCCUUGGGGCUAAUACCCUCGAGGAAGGACAUCACCCACAGAAGAAGCACCGGCUAACUCCGUGCCAGCAGCCGCGGUAAUACGGAGGGUGCGAGCGUUAAUCGGAAUUACUGGGCGUAAAGCGCGCGUAGGCGGUCUGAUAAGCCGGUUGUGAAAGCCCCGGGCUCAACGUGGGAACGGCAUCCGGAACUGUCAGGCUAGGGUGCAGGAGAGGAAGGUAGAAUUCCCGGUGUAGCGGUGAAAUGCGUAGAGAUCGGGAGGAAUACCAGUGGCGAAGGCGGCCUUCUGGACUGACACUGACGCUGAGGUGCGAAAGCGUGGGUAGCAAACAGGAUUAGAUACCCGAGUAGUC
RNAcentral lists this ribosomal RNA (465 nucleotides) under Vreelandella stevensii. RNAcentral's name for it is "partial 16S ribosomal RNA". It matches the Rfam family "Bacterial small subunit ribosomal RNA", at positions 338 to 795 of the family's 1533-position model. The record is from RNAcentral. Lineage: Bacteria; Pseudomonadati; Pseudomonadota; Gammaproteobacteria; Oceanospirillales; Halomonadaceae.